Molecule: long non-coding RNA, 488 nt
Organism: Xenia sp. Carnegie-2017
Lineage: Eukaryota; Metazoa; Cnidaria; Anthozoa; Malacalcyonacea; Xeniidae
Exons: 2
Source: RefSeq, a predicted model, not a curated record
GUAUAAAUUACAUCUGUAGGACCACCUGAAAACUUGUGAGUACGUUGAGAUUCCUUGUCCCAAAGGAUGCAAUCAAAGCAUUGAGAGGAGAGCUGUUGAUCAACAUUUGAGAAAAGAUUGCCCAAAAAGAACUGUUACUUGUCAGUAUUGUAAAACAGAGAUUCUACAAAAAAAUAUGAAGUGCCCGGCCCAAAGAAAACACAACAUGCGACUGUAGACAAUGUCCUCAAUAUCAAAGAAAGCGAUAGCAAAAGUUUUAAUGUUUGAUGGCAGCGAGAUCUAGUUGUCCCGCGUUGUCGUCCUGCAACUUCUUUGUGUUUAGGUAUUUCUGUAAAUAAAAAAGACUGUUCCGAUCGCCAUUAAAACCUUAGGAAACAUCAAUAAGAAAUUCUAAAGAAUGCGCUAGAGAAAUAGAAGAAAAAUUGUAAUGUUCUUAAAGCCAGAAAUCUUUCAAAUGAACAAGGUGAAAACCUUUGGAGCCAUCAAAA